GCUGGGUGCGGUGGUGCAUGCCUGUAGUCCCAGCUACUCAGGAGGCUGAGGCAGGAUAGCAAGUUCAAGUCCAGGCUGGACAACUUAGCAAGACCCUGUCUCAA
Molecule: small RNA, 104 nt
Filed under: Marmota monax (woodchuck)
Lineage: Eukaryota; Metazoa; Chordata; Mammalia; Rodentia; Sciuridae
Source: RNAcentral